This 446-nucleotide ribosomal RNA is filed under the name uncultured bacterium. Its description in RNAcentral is "partial 16S ribosomal RNA". It matches the Rfam family "Bacterial small subunit ribosomal RNA", at positions 338 to 795 of the family's 1533-position model. The record is from RNAcentral.
CCUACGGGUGGCAGCAGUCGAGAAUCAUUCACAAUGGGGGAAACCCUGAUGGGGGGACGCCGCGUGGGGGAAUGAAGGUCUGCGGAUUGUAAACCCCUGUCAUGGGGGAGCAAAUUAAAAAGAUAGUACCACAAGAGGAAGAGACGGCUAACUCUGUGCCAGCAGCCGCGGUAAUACGGAGGUCUCAAGCGUUGUUCGGAAGCACGGGGCGGAAGGCGUGCGUAGGCUGUUUCGUAAGUCGUGUGUGAAAGGCGCGGGCUCAACCCGCGGACGGCACUUGAUACUGCGAGACUAGAGUAAUGGAGGGGGAACCGGAAUUCUCGGUGUAGCAGUGAAAUGCGUAGAUAUCGAGAGGAACACUCGUGGCGAAGGCGGGUUCCUGGACAUUAACUGACGCUGAGGCACGAAGGCCAGGGGGGCGAAAUGGAUUAGAUACCCGAGUAGUC